CUACGGGCGGCAGCAGUAAGGAAUAUUGCGCAAUGGGCGAAAGCCUGACGCAGCGACGCCGCGUGGGGGAUGAAGGUCUUCGGAUUGUAAACCCCUUUCGGGAGGGAAGAUGGGAUGGGUAACCAUUCGGACGGUACCUCCAGAAGCAGCCACGGCUAACUUCGUGCCAGCAGCCGCGGUAAUACGAAGGUGGCAAGCGUUGUUCGGAUUCACUGGGCGUACAGGGAGCGUAGGCGGUUGGGUAAGCCCUCCGUGAAAUCUCCGGGCCCAACCCGGAAAGUGCAGAGGGGACUGCUUGGCUAGAGGACGGGAGAGGAGCGCGGAAUUCCCGGUGUAGCGGUGAAAUGCGUAGAGAUCGGGAGGAAGGCCGGUGGCGAAGGCGGCGCUCUGGAACGUUUCUGACGCUGAGGCUCGAAAGCGUGGGGAGCAAACAGGAUUAGAUACCCUCGUAGUC
RNAcentral lists this ribosomal RNA (454 nucleotides) under uncultured bacterium. RNAcentral describes it as "partial 16S ribosomal RNA". It matches the Rfam family "Bacterial small subunit ribosomal RNA", at positions 339 to 795 of the family's 1533-position model. The record is from RNAcentral.